Molecule: long non-coding RNA, 19928 nt
Filed under: Ananas comosus (pineapple)
Lineage: Eukaryota; Viridiplantae; Streptophyta; Magnoliopsida; Poales; Bromeliaceae
Description: long non-coding RNA (ACOM_LNC037639)
Source: RNAcentral
CAGAUCAAAAAUUUUCCACAACCACUCUACAAAGGUUUUCAUUCUAUCUCUGAAGCCUUAGACACUGCUCGUACCCAUUUUGGCCCAAACUUUUUCAUCUCCCCCAAUAUUCGCUCUUCUCCACAUAUCCAAGCCUCUACAUCCACCCACAAUCUUGAGAAAAAUAGUUUCUGUGAAAACUGCUCAACAAUGGCAACACAGCUUCAAAAGCUGAAUACCAUUUGUGAUGACUUACGAACAAAGGAUCAGAAAAAUCUCCAGAAAAUUGCUAUUCUGGAACAGCAGAUCAGAGACCUCAAGCAUCCUUCACAACAAGGUAUUGUAUCUCUACCUCAAUCUUCCUCUUAUCCUCCUCCAAAGUAUCCUCCUAUAAUGACAAUAACACCAAGGUUGGUAUUUCCUCCUAUCACCAACAUAAAAACCCCUUUUCAAAACUCACUAAUCCCAGUAGUCCAUCCAUCCACUUCGGUAAAACCGCUUCCCUUAUCAUCUGCCCUUUUUCCACCACAAAGGCCCUCCCUCAAAAGAUAUCCAAGGCCAAUAGCCAAACCAUUACCAAGACCUAAGCCCUCUUCAGAACCAUUACUACACCCUAGUAUAGGAAACACAGAAGAAAAACAAGGCGAUCCCAUGAUACUAGAAGCAUCUUCUCCCAAAAUUGACAAUUUAGGGGAAAAUGCUUAGCCGCCUGGUUCUGAUAUUUUGUACAUAUUUGUAUAUAUUUUAUCUGCUUGUUUUCGUUCUCGCGCUUUUCAUGGUAUCGUAGGAUUCGGACGAGGUGCUAAAAAAAAAAAGAGAGCAAAUAAAUAAAGAUAAUUUCAGAGAAAAAUUGAAAUAUCAAAAGAAGAAAAAGAAAUCUGGAAUGAGAAAAUCAAAGAAAAUGAAAAAUGAAAAAGAAGAAAAGAAGAAAAAUCAGAAAGAAAGAAAUCAGAAAAAGAAAAAAAUAGAAAUCAACCAGCCUUGAUCUGUACAAGGCAAAAUAAGGGUUUUUAGUUUAGGACUUUACUUUUUGUUUUCUAGUUUAAAAGUUUUUAAAUUUUGGCUAAUCACCUUGUGAUCCAACUCCACCACCAAAAGCAAGGUUCCUAAGUCUGUUCUCAAACAGACACCACCAAUUUUUCAGAGAAAAAAUUUUGGCCACCAAAGAGCAAAUGACGGAUCAACACUUGGCCUCCAUUUGGACAAAUACUGAAGCGACACGUGGACAUCACUCAUGCACCAAGUCCAUGCACCAAGUCCACCUAAUUCUCAAAUAGUGCCGCCAAUGAUGACGACCCAAAACAUCUUCGCCCCUGGUGGUUUUUGAAAAAAUGGUGGGCCCACGUCAUCAUUCCUUCCAUUACCUCAACCUGCGUAGCCGCGGUUUUUUUUGAAAACCACGUGCCGCCGCAGUAUUCUCCUCCCAAACCACCUCUUCCUUCAGCUAUAAAAGGAAGCCUUCCUCCUCCUCUUGAAGCAUGGCCAAUGGAGAGCAAGUAAGCAUCGCAAAAAUAUAGCAUCAAAGAGAAAAAAUCCCCUUAGCUCCUGUAUGUAAACAAUUCCGCUGAAGCAGGAAAUUUCAGAGAAAAAUGGAUAUAUCAAAGAAGAAAAAGAAUCUGGAAAUGAGAAAAUCAAAGAAAAUUGAAAAUAAAAAAGAGAAAAAGAAGAAAAAUAUCAAGUAAAAGAAGAAAAAUCAGAAAAAAAAAAAAAAAAAUAACCGCUGUUUCUGAUUGUCCUUAUUAUCUAAGCAAGCACUGUGUCCUUUGAACAUACACGCAUAGUGUUUUCUAAUCCAACCUGGUGUAUGUCUGGGGCUGAGGAAGAGAGAAAUCUAGGUAAGUUAUUCACUAUUCGCUCUCUAGUGUCUUCAAAUAACCUGUGUAUGUCUGAUUAAUAUCAUCACAGAGGUUUCUUCUCACGAUAAUUUAAGUCGUUUGUCAAAUGGGGCAAUAAUGUGGGAUCAAAUGUCUUAUGAACCUGUAAAAUGUCUGAAACAAUAUUCAUUAUAUUAAUAUUUUUAUGUCUAGAGAAAAUUCUUUUAAAUAAAUAAUCUCCAGAUAUCAGAGAUAAUAUUAUCUAAAGGUUCUUCAAAUAGUCUCCAAAUGUCUAUAAGGAUAUUGUCUUGAAAGCAUAAAUCACAGAGGAUUUGGCUGAAAUCAGAUAUUUCAAAAUCUUCAUUUUCCUCCGGGAUAGUGUCUAAAACAAAAAACAUUUGUUGAGUCUGGUAAUGUGUCAUGUCUCUUUUGUCCAUGUCUUCUGUUUCCAAUGUGUCUUCUUCUAUGGUGUGGAACCACCAUAUAUCUAUUUCAUCUUGAGCGGCCAUGGUAUUGUAAAAGUUUGGAUUAAUGAAAACGCGGAUCCACAUUAUAUUCGAUAUUGGGUUGUUUUUCUAAAUUGAUAACUAUCUGAAUAGACAAACGAAUAGCCACUGCAUUCUGGCGUGAUCCUUUAACUAUAGAUGUGUAGGGUUUUAGGGUUUAGGGUUUAGGCUUUAGAAGAAGGUGUGGAAAUGUUCCAAGUUUAAGGUUUUAGGUGCGGAAAUGAUUUUUAAACACAAACUACAAGUCUGUUGUUAUGAAAACCCUAAAAAUAAAAACCCUAGGAUUUUAUGGAGAAAACCCUAGUCUAUUUAUAAAAACCCUAAGGUAUGAGGAAAAACCAACCUUUGAAAGAAGCAAAAAACCUAAUAAGGAGGUUUUCAAUAUUUUUGGGAUUUUUUGAGAUUUUUUAGAAAACGCGGAAAUAUUAGGGGCUGGGUCAGAUUAUGUAGUAUAUUGAAAAUUAGGUCUUAGGAAAUACCUAAGAGGAAAGUAAAAGUAAGAAAAAGAAAGUUUAAAUUUUAACAAUUUUUUGGAUAUUUUUUGGGAAUUUUUCUGAUGCUAAUAAAAUAUUAAUUAGUGUAGAGUACUAUGCAGGAUUUACGUGCGUACUAUUAUAAGGUAUAUCUAAACACUAUGCGGGUUACUAAGCAAAUUAGUAAAGAAAGAUUUUUAUAGGAGAGACCGUAUGUCGGCUACUCUGAAGAAGGGUGGCAAAAUACUCGUGAGAUUUUUCUGGAUUUUUUAGUAUUUUUUCUGUCUGGAAAUGUUGCUGUCGAAAAUUAGCGAAGUUACAAUGCACGAUAACUAUGCAUACAGUGGCUUCACGUGAAUGAAAUUUUUUUUUUUUUUUUUUUUUACUUUUCAAUUUUACUAUGCAAAUAGUGAAAGUAGAACAGAAAAAUGUGCAGAGGGGAAACUAUAUGUCGGCUAUUCUGGACAAGGGUAGCAAAAGACUCGUGGGAAUAUUUUAUAUUUUUUAAGAUUUUUUACGAAUUUUUUCGGUCUAAAAAUUAAGUGGCGUAAUUAGUGCUAAUUAUGAAAAGUGACAUGCACGUGGGGGGUUUUUUAUUUUUUAUUUUAUAUAUAUAUAUAUAUAUAUUUUUUAUCUUUAUUGAGUUUUUUUAAAAACUUAAAUUGAAGUGUGUUUGUAGGCGGAAACGAUGUUGGUCGUUAUUAAAUAUUAUUUUAAUUGGGAUGUGUAGGUGGAUGUUUAGAUGAAAUUGUUUGAUAGAUAGUUCACAGUAAAAAAGGAGCGGAAAGAAAAAUAUAUAUGUCUUAAAGGAUAUUUCUAGUAUGAAUAAAAAUAGGAUGAAGCGCAAAUUUAAAAUCUCCGUUGUGGAAGAUAAAUUUUAAAAUCUUUUUAAAGUAGGUCCCGUCUGGUACUCCCUUCUAGAAAUCACGAUAAAAAUUUUCUCGGAUGUUUUUUUUUAUAUAUUUCUAUAACUCUUUAUCUCAUUAAAUUUUCGAUGAUGCAAUUUUCCUAAUACUCGGACUUAUGAUGAAAUUUAAUUUUCUAAUGUGGAUAACACCACUUAAGACACAGUGUUGGUGCACAAGACCCUCUUAGCGUACAGUUUUCAGAGAACCUCGCUCUUACGCCGCAAAGCACCUCUGGCUAUCAAUGGCGAAAUUUACAGAGCAUUUUUUCUCUUAUCAAAUCUGCCAAGCAUAUAUGCUUUACACUUGCUUAAGCUGAAAUAAUUACCCAGAGAGAACCCAUAAAUUUUCAUUAAGAGUCCAAGGAAAGGGAAUCAUGGGGCAAAGAAAAUGCCAUGGAUAGAAGAGUUCGAGAAAUAUAAUAUUAAACAAGAGAUAAAACUUACAUCACAACGCUAGAAGGUUUCCCUUCCGGGACUUCCCGGGGGGAAAAAAGGACUUGUUUGUACAGACUCUUCACUCCAGAUUGCAGUUGAUAAAAAGAUAAAUUUUUACAGGAGGGGGAGAAAAAUAAAAGCCAUUGGAUUUAUUUGUGGAGCUAGGAUGCUAUAUCUAACAAGAUGAGAGCUUCAUUCUUCACUUGUUGUCGAAAUGAUCUUCCUUUAAGCUUCAGCGCAAUUUUUACAUAAGGCAGGGGCUAAGUGGGAUUUUCUCUUGCUCUGCUUCCUUGCUCACCAUGCUUCAAGAGGAGGAGGAAGGCUUCCUUUUAUAAGAAAAAGGAAGAGUGGUUUUGGAGGAGAAAACUGCGGCGGCACCUGGUUUUCAAAAAAACCGCGGCUACGCAGGUUGAGGUAAUGGAAGGAAUGAUGACGCGACAUGAUGACGUGGGCCCACAGGCUUUUCAAAAAAAACCUCAGGCGUAGUGGUUUUGGAUGGUCAUCAUUGGCAUGACUUUUUGAAAAUUCGGUGGACCUGGUGCAUCAGUGAUGUCCACGUGUUGCUUUAAUAUUUGUCCAGAUGGAGGCCAUUUGUUGAUUCUUCAUUGGCUUGGUGGGGGCCAAAUAUUGCUCUGAAAUUUGGUGGUGUCUGUUUGGGAACAGACUUUGGAACCUUGCUUUUGGUGGUGGAGUUGGAUCACAAGGUGAUUAGCGAAAAAUUAAAAACUUUUAAACUAGAAAACAAAAAGUAAAGUCCUAAACUAAAAAACCCUUAUUUUUGCCUGUGAAGGAAUCACAGCGGGUUGAUUUCUUUUUUCUUUUUUCUUUUUCUGAUUUUUUCUUUUUUUUCUUGAUUUUUUCUUCUUUUUUGUUCUUUUUUCAUUUUUCAAUUUUUUCUUUGGUUUUUUCAUUUCCAGAUUCUUUCUUCUUCUUUUGAUAUUUCCACUUUUUUCUGGAAAUUUUCUGUUUUUUCUCCUUUUUUUUUUUUUUUUUUAGCAGUGUCCGAAUACGCGGACUACAUGAAAAGGCAUAAUUGAAAAACAGAUGCAGAACUGAAGGAAAUAUAUACAAAUAUGUACAAAACAUCAGAACCAGGCGGCUAAGCAAUUUCCCCUAAAUUGUCAAUUUUGGGAGAAGGUGCUUCUAGUAUCAUGGGAUCUUCUUGUUUUUCUUCAGUGUUUCCUAUACUAGGGUGUGGUAAUGGUUCUGAAGAGGGCUUAGUUCUUGGAAAUGGUUUAGCAAUUGGCUGUGGAGGUUUUUUGUGGAAAGCUUUUUGUGGUGGAAAAGGUGCUGAUGAUAGUGGAAGCGGUUUUACUGAGGUGGAUGGAUGGACUACUGGGAUUAGUGGGUUUUGAAAAGGAGCAUUUAUGUUGGUAAUUGGGGGAAAGACCAAACUUGGUGUUAUUGUCAUUAUAGGAGGAUACUUUGGAGGAGGAUAAGAGGAAGAUUGAGGUAGAGAUACAAUACCUUGUUGUGAAGGAUGCUUGAGGUCUCUGAUCUGAUGUUCAAGGAUUGCAAUUCUUUGUAGAUUUUUCUGAUCCUUUGUUCUUAAGUCAUCGCAAAUGGUAUUCAGCUUCUGAAGCUGUGUUGCCAUUGUUGAGCAGUUUUCACAGAAACUAUUUUUCUCAAGAUUGUGGGUGGAUGUAGAGGCUUGGAUAUGUGGAGAGGAGCGAAUAUUGGGAGAAAUAAAAAAGUUUGGGCCAAAGUGGGUGCGAGCAGUGUCUAAGGCUUCGGAGAUAGAAUGAAAACCUUUGUAGAGUGGUUGGGAAAAAUGCCAAUUUUAAAACCUUGAAAUACUACAUAGUAAGGAAACUUAUUUAUUUAUUUAUUUAUUUAUUUAUUUAUUUUUUUUUUUAUUAUAAGUUAAGAGUUCCAAUUUUGGAUUUAAUAAAGAAGAAAGGCACUCAGUUGUAACAUAGGUUGUGACAUAAGAAUCUCGUAAGUUUAUAUUGAUAAUACUAACUAUUAAUCUUGGAGGUUUGAGGUUUGUCCUAAAAUAUAUUCCGGCAAAUAUCUUGCCAGUCAUUCAUUUUCUGUUAUCCUUCAAGUGGAUAGCCGUAAUAGUACUCUAAUGUCUCUAAUAAUAUAUUUUGAUCUUGUAUCAUAAUAUUGAAAGUUUGCUCGUCUCGAAAGUAUUGCUGGUAAUAAUUUUCCCAAUCAUGUUCAGGGAGGUGACAAAUGCCAGAAAACCAAAGUUGUAAAUCAAAUUUGUCUUGGAUCCUAUCUAACCAUAAUUGUUUUUGUUGUGAGUUUUCUAGCCUUUUAUAAAGAGUCUGUCUGUUGUAUUCUUUGCAUGCUGCUGCUAAGGCUUUUUCUUCACCUAAAUGCUUAAAGCUAGAAAGGAUAAUGUGAAAGGGCAUAACAGCAAAUGGGUCUUCAAAUAACCUGUGUAUGUCUUGGAUUAUAUCAUCAAGAGUUUCUUCAGAUGGUUUAAGGAAAACGUCAGUGCAAAAUGGGCAAUAAUGUGGAUCCAUGUCUUUGAACCUGAAAUGUCUGGACCAAUAUACAUUAUGUUAAUAUUAUUAUGUCUAGAGAAGAUUCUUUUAAAUGAAUAAUCUUCAGAUAUCAGAUAUAAUAUUAUCUAAAGGUUCUUCAAAUAGUCUCCAAAUGUCUAUAAGGAUAUUGUCUUGAAAGCAUAAUUCACAGAGGAUUUGACUGAAUUCAGAUAUUUCAAAAUCUUCAUUUUCCUCUGGGAUAGUGUCUAAAAUAAAAAACAUUCGUUGUGUCUGGUAAUGGGUCAUGUCUCUUUCGUCCAUGUCUUCUGUUUCCAAUGUGUCUUCUUCUAUGAACCAUAUGUCUACUUCAUCUUGAGCGGUUAUGGUAUUGUAAAAGUCUGGAUUAGUGAAUUCUAGAAGUUCGUCUUCAUGAGUCUGGAGACACAUUUUUGUAAGACCUUGUACUUCUGAAAAAUUCAAAGUCAAAGGGUUUUAUUAGUAGUAGAACUGGGAGUCUGAUUUUUAGAUGUACCAGGAGUGUUAGGAGAUCUAAGUUCUGGUGGAGUUAAAAGGCGUGGAAUUUGUCUGUGGAAGGUCCAUGGUUGGACAAUUUUCUUUGGAAGAGUACCUUUUGAGUGUUCUUGAAAUUGGAGUGCAGAAAAGUGUUUUGUUACUUCCUGUAUGAUAGGAGUUGUGUCUAUGGUAGGAGUAAUGCUUUCAGCUUGUCUUUGUUGCAUUACCAAAUGUUCUAAUGUAUGUAUUCUACUGUGUAAUCCUAAUAAUAGUUGGAUAAUAGAGUUGUUUUGUUUGAUUAUAACUUGUUCAGAUAUGGCUUGUGGGAGAUGAGAUGAAAAGCCUAUAGAGGUUUUGUCUGGACUAUAGUUUUGUACUUUUGAUAAAGUCUUAUGUAAAAUUUCAGCUUCAAGGUGCUCGGGAUUAGUCAUCCAAGAGAAAUUUGUUUAAUUUCUGCUAACCUCUGAAGACUGUUAUGUAAAUCUUGUUCGAUUUUAAGUAGCUUUUGUUCUAUUCUUUGAGGUCUUGCCUCUAGUUGACUUAGUCUAUGGUUUAUAUUAGAAAGUCUUUGUUCUAUCAAAUUAUUUUGGUUUUUGAUAUAAUCUAGGUUUCUUGAAAUUUUAUCAAGUAAUUCUGUUUGUGUUCUAAUUGUCUGAUCAAGUCUAAGUACUAGUUGUUGAAGAGUCCUUAGUGGAUCUAUUUUGAAUAUUUUUAUGAAAACCGAAAGUAAAGGUAUGGAAUUCUCCUGUGAGAUGGUAAAUAAUGAAAGGAUAAGGAAGGCUUAGGUUUGACAAAGUCUUAUCAUAUAAUGUUAAAAAUGCAAAAUAAUAAAAGGGCUUUUUGCUUUUUUGUUUUUCUUUUGAUUCUAGCCGUGGUUGUAAAUUUAGAGAAAACAAGUACGGUUUGGAGGAGAUUCUAUGAUUAAUUUAUUAAGUAAGUCUAUCUGAGAUUUGGUAUUCUUUUCUAUGACUACUAAAAUUUGUUGAAUGCUGAAAAGGAUGAUUAAAAUGCUUAAAAGAAAUAUGGAUGGUACUAGCAUUAAAAUCUUCGUGGAGGCUGAGGAGGUCGUCUGGAAAGAAUGUCAAAUAGAUGAGGGUAGUGUAUAAGUUCUUUAUCUAGAGUAAGUAGGAUUAAAGAAAGUAAAUCUAGAUACCUAUGAGUUUCAAUGUAAAAUGUUUUUAAGACACGAAAAUGUACUAAAGUCCCGAUAGGAUGAUUAGCGUAAAUAGGAUUGUUAAUAGGAUUAAAAGUGAAAGCGUCUAUGUCAAAAGCGUCUUCGACUGUUACUUCUAAAAAUCUUCGUCUUCCAAUAUGAACAAUGUUGUAUCGCCAGUUAAAUUGUCUUGGGCUGGUGGUAUUAUCACUAUAGUCUGAACUGUCAUCACUAUUGUUAUUGUCUUCGUAUUCUUCGUAAUCUGGUAAAAUUUCGUCUUCGUUUGGAUUAGCCAGUGUAUUUAUUAUUGUCGAAAUAUCUGAAAAACAAGAAAAGGGUCUAUUUCCCAAAGCUGAGAUAUAAGUUGUAGGAAAAUAAUUAUUAAGGGGAGUGGAACUCCUAAAGUUAAGGAAUCUAUAAUAAAAGUUUCUAUAUAAUAGGGAGUGUAGAGAAAGUUUAGAAUUGGUUCGAUGAGAUAAUAUAAGCACACUAUAAGAAAUCUAAAUAUAGAUUCGAUUAAUAAAUAUAAUGCUAUGUCUUUAUCCAGUUUGAAAAAUGUUAAAUAGGUUGAAAAAUGUUAAAUUAUUAUUUUCUUCCUAUAUAUUGAAAAGGCCAAGUAAUAAGGUAUCGGUCAAAAGUUUCCCAAUAUAUUAUUAAUAUGUCUAAAAUAUUGUAUAUGAUGUCUUCUGGAAAUCCUAACAGAAAUAAUGUUAAAAUAAAAGUUGUCAAGGAAAAAGGUUGAUCGAUGAUAUUACAAAAAAGUUGGUCUGUAUUAUUAUCCGGUGCUUUCCUUUUUGGCAUAAAAAAGUUUUACUAUUUAUUAAAUAUGUGGUUGCAUUGAGGACUUUAGUUAAGAAAAUUUAUUUUCUUUUCUUUUCUCUGUCUUGCUUAAGAAGAAAGCGAGGCUGUUGAAUUGAUUGAAAAAAGAUAAUUAAUAUGGUGUAGCUUUAAGAAAGGAAACUAAAUGUCUUAUAGCUAAAUUAAGAGUAUAAGUGUAUAAUUAAAAGUCUUUGCUAAUUGUAACCAAGAAAGUCUUAGUCUACCAAGAAUGUCUUAGUUUACCAAGAAAGUCUUAGCUCUGAUACCAAGAGGAAACAAGAAAGUCUUAGCUCUGAUACCAAGAAUGUCUAAUUUUAACUUUAUCUUUCCUCCUCCUCUUGAAGGAUGGUGAGCAAGGAAGCAGAGCAAGAGAAAAUCCCACUUAGCCCCUGCCUUAUGUAAAAAUUGCGCUGAAGUUUAAAGGAAGAUCAUUUCGACGACAAGUGAAGAAUGAAGCUCUCAUCUUGUUAGAUAUAGCAUCCUAGCUCCACAAAUAAAUCCAAUGGCUUUUAUUUUCCUGUCCUUCCUGUAAAAAUUUAUCUUUUCAACAACUGCAAUCUGGAGUGAAGAGUCUGUACAAACAAGUCCUUCUUUCCCCCCGGGAAGUCCUGGAAGGGAAACCUUCUAGCGUUGUGAUGUAAGUUUUAUCUCUUGUUUAAUAUUAUAUUUCUCGAACUCUUCUAUCCAUGGCAUUUUCUUUGCCCCAUGAUUCCCUUUCCUUGGACUCUUAAUGAAAAUUUAUGGGUUCUCUCUGAGUAAUUAUUUCAGCUUAAGCAAGUGUAAAGCAUAUAUGCUUGGCAGAUUUGAUAAGAGAAAAAAUGCUCUGUAAAUUUCGCCAUUGAUAGCCAGAAGUGCUUUGCGGCGUAAGAGCGAGGUUCUCUGAAAACUGUACGCCAAGAGGGUCUUGUGCACCAACACUGUGUCUUAAGUGGUGUUAUCCACAUAAGAAAAUUAAAUUUCAUCAUAAGUCCGAGUAUUAGGAAAAUUGCAACAUCGAAAAUUUAAUGAGAUAAAGAGUUUUAGAAAUAUAAAAAAAACAUCUGAGAAAAUUUUUAUCUUGAUUUCUAGAAGGGAGUACCAGACGGGACCUACUUUAAAAAAGAUUUUAAAAUUUUAUCUUCCACAACGGCGAUUUUAAAUUUGCGCUUCAUCCUAUUUUUAUUCAUACUAGAAAAAAUAUCCUUUAAGACAUAUAUAUUUUUCUUUCCGUUCCUUUUUUACUGCGAACUGUCUAUCAAACAAUUUCAUCUAAACAUCCACCUACACAUCCCAAUUAAAUUAGUAUUUAAUAGCGACCAACAUCGUUUCCGCCUACAAACACACUUCAAUUUAAGUUUUUAAAACUCAAAAAGAUAAAAAAAAAAAGAAAUAUAUAAAAAAUAAAAAAUAAAAAACCCCCCACGUGCAUGUCACUUUUCAUAAUUAGCACUAAUUACGCCACUUAAAUUUUAGACCGAAAAAAUUCUUAAAAAAUCUUAAAAAAUCAAAAAUAUUCCCACGAGUCUUUUGCUACCCUUGUCCAGAAUAGCCGACAUAUAGUUUCUCCUCUGCACAUUUUUCUGUUCUACUUUCACUAUUUGCAUAGUAAAACCAUAAUUCUUACGUGAAUAGUGUUUUUGAUAAAAAAAAAAAAAAAUCUCAUUCACGUGAAGCCACUGUAUGCAUAGUUAUCAUGCAUAGUAACUUCGCUAAUUUUCGACAGCAACAUUUCCAGACAGAAAAAAUACUAAAAAAUCCAGAAAAAUCUUGCUUGUAUUUUGCCACCCUUCUUCAAAGUAGCCGACAUACGGUCUCUCCUAUAAAAAUCUUUCUUUACUAAUUUGCAUAGUAACUCGCAUAGUGUUUUUUGCAUAGUAACUUCUAUAUACGUACGCACUAAUCGUGCAUAGUACGCUACACUAAUUAAUAUAUUUUUAGCGUCAGAAAAAUUCCCAAAAAAUACCCAAAAAAUUAUUAAAAUUUCAACUUUUUUUUUCUUACUCUCACUUUUCCUCUUAGAAAUUUUCUACAACUUAAUAUAUUACAUAAUCUGACCCAACCCCUAAUAUUUCCGCAUUUUCUAAAAUUCUCAAAAAAUCCCAAAAAUAUUGAAAAACUCCUUUUUAGGUUUUUGCUUCUUUCAAAGGUUUGUUUUUCCCUUAAUACCUUAGGGUUUUCAUAAAUAGACUAGGGUUUUCUCCAUAAAUUCUAGGGUUUUAUUUCUCACAGGGUUUUUAUCACAAUAGACUUGUAGUUUGUGUUUAACACUACUUCUAAACCUUUUCCUAAACCCUAAACCCUAAACCCUAAACCCUAAACUUGGAACUAGCCAAGCCUAAACAAGCUAGCCCCCUCCCCCCUCUUGGUAUCAGAGCUUAGACUUUCUUGGUAUAGACACUUAGCCUCUUGACUAACAUUGUUUAUUUAAAAGACUUUUUGAUUAGAGACUUUCUUGGUAAACUAAGACAUUCUUGGUUACAAUUAGCUAGGACUUUUUAAUUAUAAACUUUGUUAGUUAUGGACUUUCCUACAUCAUCUUCUCAACAACACAGACUAUCUAGAUCUAAUUCUUCUAGAUCUGAAGGUAGUGAAUCUACAAUAUCUUUAAGAGCUCCUAAGUCUAGAGCAAGGAGCAUAGUCGAAAAAUUUUUUUGCAGACCAACACCUCUUCCGUUAGUUCCUAGAUCCCAGACACCUCAAUUAGAUAAUGUUGUAGAUGUUGAUGAUGACAUUGCAAUAUUCCGUACCCACGGGUUACGUCUUAUAAAUCCAGACAUUCUAUAUGAUAAGCGACAACGAUAUGUUGAUAAGACUAAAUUUAUUUCUUUUAAAAGUGAAGUGUCAGUUGAAUGUUAUGACGGCCAACACAUUUCAAUACCCUUAGCUAAUAGCGACGUACAAAAGAGUAUUAGAAAAGCAGACAUAGCUCUUAUGCAUUUAGGAUUAAUUGUAAUAGGCAUAAAAGGACUAGUACGUAAAAAAUUAGGAUCUAAAGUUCUCCUAAUGCCUUAUGACAACAGACACAAGAAUAUAAUUGAUGCAUCUUUAGGUUGCACUGAAAUAGAUAUGAAUUUUAACGGUGGAAUAUUUUAUGUUGUUCCAGACUUUCUAAUGCCCUCAUUAGACUUUGCAAGUCAGAUUAAAAUUGGUAUACAAGUUAGAGGAAUAGACUUAUAUGAAGGACAAAAUUUUAGGAAUUUACAGGUAUGUAUUGGAUUUACAGGUCUGUUAACACCCACUGCCGAGUCACAUUUCUUAAUGAACCCUUUAGGUGUAGUAGAUCUAAUGGGAACACAAGGCAUGAAAUUAAUAGCACCAAUGGAAAUAGAUGCUAAAAAAUAUGCCGGCCUUGAAUGGAAUUUGGAUAAAUUUACGCAAAUUCGACAAACUACAAUAGCUCCUGCAGACACUAUUUACUACCAAAAUGAACAAGGAAGAAACUCACUUAGAUUUACAGACUUUGAGACAAUUGAAGAAACAGAAGAUGACAAAGAUAGGACUACACCAUUAAUCCGAAAAAGAAGUAGUACAUCAUCCCAACUAGGUGAAUCGAGUACCCAACGAAGAGAUUUAAAUCUUCUACCCCAAAAUCAACCUCCAAAUUUAAAUGUACCUUAUAACUUAGAAAGCCAACCCAAUGUUGAAUAUAAUUUUAUGGAAUACAACAAUAUUGACUAUUCUUCUGAAUCUGAACCUGAAGAUGAAGAAUUUAGCGAUGAAGAAGAGAUCCGUCUGAUAGAACAGAUCAGACUAAAAAGACAAUUAAGAUCUGAAAAAGAUAAAAGAUUAGGAUACACUCCUCUCAAUGACAAUUUUAUUUAUAACCUAAGAGAUGAAAUUAGAGAAAUAAACUUAGCAGAAGAAGGAGAAGGAUCUACUGUCCAUAAUCCUCCUGUUACACAUACUCCUCCACCAUAUCAUGUUGAACAUCCAUUAACUACUCCUCCAGCUCCACAGAGAUCUCCUAGACCUCAUGCAUCCAAUCCCGGAUACUCACAUAUACCAUAUUAUGAUACAGUCCGAAUGCCAGCAGAAACCUAUAAUACUGGUAAUUUUCCUAGACAUAGCAUCUCCUCAGCCCCAGAAGAACAAAUUUACCCAUAUGGUAGAAAUGUUAGAUCAUAUGGCAAAAAAUAUCCUUUUGAAAAUCCUGUUAAUUUGCAAGACGCAGGAUCUGGAAAAAUAUUAAACAUAGCAGCACAUGACCCCCAAACUUGGGAUUCUAUAAUAGACAUUUGGAAAGGAUUAGUUGUAGCAGAUUAUAUUCGGAAUCAGCACUACAUGAACACAGACAAUGCCGAAGAAAUGUAUAAAUACUUAGAAACCUUCCUAGGAGAAUCUACUAAAGGAAUGUGGGAACAAUAUAAAGUUCAAUAUGAAGAAGAAUUUAGACAUCUUUUAACACUAGGAUGUAAUCCUUGUAAUUUUACAAACAAAGUUCAUUCUCUUAUUACAGGCCAAGACCCUAAUUCUGGCCAAUUACUCCUCCAAAACCAAGCUCUUAUCAGCCUAGAACAACUUAGUAUUUCAACCUGGUUCCCUAUUAAAGACUUUCUACAGGCAUACCUAUAUUAUACAAGUAUAAGUGGAAAUGCAUUUAGUCAAGACAUAGGAAGAAAAUUAUUCUUAAAACUUCCAGGAGCCCUAGGCAGAGAAAUUCAAGACAGAUGGGAUACAAUGGAAAAAGAAACCAUAAGACAACCCAGAUACUAAAUGGUCCAUAGGACAAAGAGUAAAAUUCAUAAUGAAUAUAUUACAAGAAAAAUGUGCCAAUAUUCAAAUCACAAAGCAAUUAAAAGACAAUGAAUAUUCUUUCUGUAAAAGUGUGGUAUAUACUCCCCAACAGUAUAGAAACCCAUUUUAUAAAAAUCCAAAGAAAAAAUCUAAACAUUACAUCCCUCAAUACAAAGGAUAUAAGACAAGAAUGAAAUAUUCCUUAAGGCGAUCAAAAGCCAAAAAGCCCUAUUUAAAUAAAGACAACCAUGUUAGAAAAUAUAAAUCCGACAGAACUUAUAAAAGCAAACUUCUUUGUUAUACAUGUAAUAGUCCAGGCCAUUUUGCAAAUGCAUGUCCAAGAAGACAAAACAUAAAGAACCGAAAUGCUUUACUUAUAGAAGAUACUGGUGAAACCUUGUUAGCAGUAGAUGAACUUGUAUCAGACACUGAAACUAUUUACUCCAUUGAAAAUAAUAUAGUCUACGAGAAAGAAAGUGACAGAGAAUCUUCCUCUGAUGAAGACAAUAAUAACUACAAUACUUUUAUCUCAAAUAUGGCUGAAGGUACUAAAACAAAGCAAAAAGAACAUACGUAUUUUUUUGAAUCUGCAAUGAUUUUUGAAGACCCUAACGAAAAUACAUCCAUGACUUCCCCACUAGAAGAACAAACAUGGACUUCGUUUUAUGACAGUACCACUGUUCUUUAUGAGGGAGUACAAACUCUAGAACAAGAACAAAACCCUAAUUGGGAAUUAGCCGCCCGAGACUAUAAAAUUCAAUUAUUAAGACAAAGAGCACAAGAAAGGAUAGACAAACGAAUAUGGAAAAUAGCUAUGGAAAUACAAAACCAGAGUGGAUCAAGAAUCCGAGAAAUAAUCGAAUAUGAACGCAAACAGAGGUUAUUAGAUACUAAGGACCAAAAUAAAAUUAUUCGAGAUAUUAGGAUUCUGUUCGAUGAUCUUUCAGAACAAGAAGACAUUAUAAAAGACAUACGACAUCUCUUUGAAAUAUCUCAAACCUCAUUUCAUGACCCUACUAUUCAUUUUAUGACCCUUAUGAAUCUAAAUGAAGAAUGCAGCCAUGAUUGGCAAGAAAGACAAGGAUAUGACCAUAGACCUUGCACAUACUGUAAUUUCUUUCCAGAAAGAAAACUUAGAUGUAAAUGUCGCUUAUGUAAAAUUGAAGCAUGUUCAAUUUGCUUAAACAAAAAGUUUAAUAGACAAAUUACAAAUUUAGAACCUAAAAGGACUUUUGAAAUUGAACACUUAAAUGCCCAUGAAAAAAGAAUUAUAGCAUUAGAAGCUAGAGUCAGCCUUCUAGAAAAACAAGAUAAUCCGCGAAAAAACAAGGACAUUACAAACAAAGGAAAAGGAAUUGAGAUCUGUGAAAAUAUGACAGAACUAUCUGAAUAUUAUGAAGAAGAAAAUUUGCGGGUAUAUGAAGAUAGUUAUAUCUGUAAUGAAGGAUUAAAACUACGAAGCUUAAUUGUUCCAUGUAAAAUACAAAUAGGAAACAAAGAUUUUGAAACAGAAGCAGUAAUUGACACUGGCUGUACGACAUGUCUCAUACAUACAGAUCUAGUCCCUUUAAAUUAUCGAAAGACAGCAAAAGAACCAACAAGUGGUAUCCAAAUGGAUGGUACUGCCCACAAAUAUACACAGUAUGUCUCUAAUGCAAAAAUUAGCUUCUUAGAUACAUGUAAUACAUUCAAUGAAACCUAUACCAUUCCCAAGGUUUGGUUACGAAAAAUGAAAAUAAAUGCAGACUUUGUAUUAGGCUUAAAUUUUAUGCUCCAUUUUUUAGGAGGAAUAAGCAUCAAUAGAGAUUAUGUUAAAUUCUACAACAUGUCACAAUGACUCCAGUACAAAAGAAAGCAAAGAAACCCUUAAAAGAUAGAAUAGAUUGCUGUGACAAUUGCUCCAAGGGAGAACCUUGUUCCCUAGAUAAGAUAACAGACGAAACAGACUUAUUAGAAUUUGACGCUUGGCAUAAUGAUUUUUCUUAUAAUCUAGAAAAAUUAUUAGACAACGAUUCAAUUUGUAUGGAUUAUGACUUUGUAAAUUGGGAAAAAACCCUCUUAAAUAUAGGUUUUAUUAGAAACCAGCAAGACAUAGACGAAAUAUUACAUAAACUUGACAAAUUAGAAAUUAUGGGAGACAACCCAAUUAAAUAUUGGGAAAACGAUAAAAUAUAUUGUAAACUGGAUAUAAUUAAUCCAGAAUAUAUAGUUAGAACUUAGAACUGCCUCUAUAGACUUCACUAACGAAGAAAGAGAACAAUUUAAACUACACAUAAAUGAACUAAUUAAAUUAGGUGUUAUACGAAAAUCGAUAUCUAAACAUAGAUCAACAGCUUUUAUAGUUAUGAAACAUUCUGAGAUAGUACGAGGAAAAAGCAGGAUGGUCAUUAACUACAAAAGACUUAAUGACAAUACAAAAUUCGAUGGCUAUACUAUUCCAGACAAAUCUCAAUUAAUAAACAGUAUACAAGAUAAAAAGAUUUUCAGUAAAUUUGACUGUAAGUCAGGUUUUUGGCAAGUAAAAAUGGACAAAGAGAGUAUAGAAUGGACAGCCUUUACCUGCCCAGAAGGACAUUUUGAAUGGCUAGUCAUGCCUUUUGGCCUUAAAAAUGCACCUUCUAUUUUUCAAAGAAAAAUGGAUACAAUCUUUAAUGAACACAGAGAUUUUGUCUUAGUUUAUGUCGAUGACAUUUUAGUUUUCAGUAAAAACAUACAAGAACAUCUAGGACACCUACAGGUAGUCUUUCAUGAAUUUAUUAAACAUGGAAUUAUUAUAAGUAAAAAUAAAGUUGAACUCUGUAAAAAAUACAUCAAUUUCUUGGGAGUAACUAUUGGUGAAGGAAAGAUAAAAUUACAACCCCAUAUAGCCAAGAAAAUCCUAGACAUGCCAGACAAACUUGAAACUCUUAAAGAAUUACAAUCCUUUUUAGGACUAGUAAAUUAUGCCAGAACAUUUAUCAAAGACCUAGGAAAAAUCGCAGGACCUUUAUAUGCUAAGACUGGAAAAUCAGGACAAAGACACUUUAAUGCUGAAGACAUAAAAUUGGUCAAACAAAUAAAAGCCCUCGUAUCUGAAUUACCAGACCUAGAUCUUCCGUUAGAUUCUGAUUAUAUUAUCAUAGAAACAGACGGUUGUGAUUUAGGAUGGGGCGCAGUCUUAAAAGCAAGAUCUAAUAAAUAUAGUGACACAAAAGAAGAAAAAUUAUGCGGAUACGCAAGUGGGAAAUAUAGAGAAAGAGGAAAAAUAAGCAGCAUAGAUGCGGAAUUACUAGCAGUAAUAUAUGCUCUUGAUGCUUUCAAACUAAAUGUUAUUAAUAAACAGGAAAUAACAAUCCGAACAGACUGUGAAGCUAUUACUAAAUUCUCUCAUAAAAAGGACGAAAAAGCUAGUUCUAGACGCCGAUGGAUUAAUUUUCAAGACAGAAUAUCGAUAACUCAUAUUAAUUUUGAACAUAUUAGAGGGAAAGAUAAUUUUUUCCCUGAUCAAUUAAGUAGAGGAUUUUUUGAGCAUACUACUUUUGAGAUUAACAUGGUGUAUGUUGAUAUUUCAGAUUCAGACAUUUCAGGCUCAGACACAGACAUGGAUCCAAAAGCUUCUAAUUCCCUCAUAAAAUCACCACCUAUUAUAAGACAACCUCGGAUAGCUUAUGGCAAAGAAAAUCUCAUUUAUUUUUCCCAAAUUAUUUUCCGUCCUCGAAAUCCAAACAUUUUAUUACCAGACGAACAAAAAUGUUUGAUUGACAAUCUAUGGUUAUGUUACCAUAGGACAUCCAAUCAUCAAGAACCAGACAAAAAAUAUUUUGUUGCAUGCAUAAAUUCCUUGAUAGAAUAUUUCCAGACUGUCAAGCCCAAAGACUCUUUCCCUUUCUAUGUGGUACUUUAAGGUUUUAAAACCGGAAUUUUUGAUUCCUGGAUUGAUGUUAUUACUCAGCUUUAAAAUUUUCCCCAACCUCUCUACAAAGGUUUUCAUUCUAUCUCCGAAGCCUUAGACACUGCCCGUACCUACUUUGGUCCAAACUUUUUUAUCUCUCCCAAUAUUCGCUCUUCUUCACAUAUUCAAGCCUCUACAUCCAUCCACAAUCUCGAGAAAAAUAGUUUCUGUGAUAACUGCUCAACAAUGGCAACACAGCUUCAAAAGCUGAACACUAUUUGUGAUGACUUGAGAACAAAGGAUCAGAAAAAUCUCCAAAGAAUUGCUAUUCUGGAACAGCAGAUCAAAGACCUCAAGCAUCCCUCACAACAAGGUAUUGUAUCUCUACCUCAAUCUUCCUCUUAUCCUCUUCCAAAGUAUCCUCCUAUAAUGACAACUACACCGAGUUUGGUCUUUCCUCCUAUUACCAACAUAAAUACCCCAUUUCAAAAUUCACUAAUCCCAGUAGUCCAUCCCUCUAUCUCAGUAAAACCUCUUCCUUUAUCAUCAGCACCUUUUCCACCACAAAGGCCUUCCCUCAAAAGAUAUCCACAGCCAAUUGCCAAACCUUUCCGAAAAAUUGAACCCUCUUCAGAACCAUUACCACACCCUAGUAUAAGAAACACUGAAGAAAAACAAGGAGAUCCCAUGAUACUAGAAGCAUCUUCUCCCAAAUAUGACAAUUUAGGGGAAAAUGCUUAGCCACCUGGUUCUGAUAUUUUGUACAUAUUUGUAAAUAUUUCUUUCAGUUCUGCAAUUUUAGUUGCACCUUUUCAUUUAGUCCUUGUAUAGGACACUGCUAAAAAAAAAAAAAAGCAAAGAGAAAAAUGAAAAAAGAAUUUCCAGAGAAAAGUGGAAAUAUGAAAAAGAAGAAAGAAUCAGGAAAUGAAAAAAUCAAAGAAAAAAUUGAAAAAUGAAAAAAGCAGAAAAAACAAAGCAAAAAUCAAGAAAAGAAAGAAAAAUGAGAAAAAGAAAAAAGAAAAAAGAAUUAACCCGCUGUGAUUCUUUCACAGGCAAAAAUAAGGGUUUUUAGUUAGGGCUUUUUCGCUACUCAGUUUUUAUUUUUCAGGUUUUAAAAUCUUUUUGCUAGUCACUUGUGAUCCAACUCCACCACCACAAGCAAGGUUCUAAAGUCUGUUCCCAAACAGACACCAUCAGUGACCUUCCAAAAUUUUAGAGCAAAUUUUGGCCCCCAUCAAGCAGAUGACGAAUCGACACGUGGCCUCCAUUUUUUCGAAGCAUCACAUGGACAUCACUCAUGCACCAAGUCCAUGCACCAGGUCUACCAAAUUGUCUCGCCAAUGAUGACCAUCCAAAACCACUACGCCUGAGGUUUUUUUUUCAAAACCAGUGGGCCCACGUCAUCAUGCCGCGUCAUCAUUCCAUCCAUUACCUAAACCUGCGUAGCCACGGUUUUUUUGAAAACCAGGUGCCGCCGCAGUUUUCUCCUCCAAAACCUCCCUUCCUUCGGCUAUAAAAGGAAGCCUUCCUCCUCCUCUUUAAGCAUGGUGAAAAAAUUAUCCAAAGGAAAGAGCCAUUCUCCACAUUCCCUCUGCCACUUCCCUAUGCAAAAGUCCCCUGAAGCUUAAAGGAAGAUCAUUUCGACGACAAGUGAAGAAUGAAGCAAGCCUCUUGUUAGAUAUAGCAUCCUAGCUCCACAAAUAAUUCCCUAAUGGCCUUUAUUUUCCUGUCUUUCCUGUAAAAAUUUAUCUUUUUCUCAACUGCAUUCUGGCGUGAAGAGUCUGUACAAACAAGUCCUUUCUUUCCCCCCGGGAAGUCCCGGAAGGGAAACCUUCUAGCGUUGUGAUGUAAGUUUUAUCCUUUGUUUAAUAUUAUAUUUCUCGAACUCUUCUAUCCAUGGCAUUUUCUUUGCCCCAUGAUUCCCUUUCCUUAGACUCUUAAUGAAAAUUUAUGGGUUCUCUCUGGAUAAUUAUUUCAGCUUAAGCAAGUGUAAAGCAUAUAUGCUUGGCAGAUUUGAUAAGAGAAAAAAAUGCUCUGUAAAUUUCGCCAUUGAUAGCCAGAAGUGCUUUGCGGCGUUAGAGCGAGGUUCUCUGAAAACCGUACGCCAAGAGGGUCUUGUGCACCAACACUGUGUCUUAAGUGGUGUUAUCCACAUUAGAAAAUUAAAUUUCAUCAUAAGUCCGAGUUUUAGGAAAAUUGCAUCAUCGAAAAUUUAAUGAGAUAAAGAGUUUUAGAAAUAUAAAAAAAACAUCUGAGAAAAUUUUUAUCGUGAUUUCUAGAAGGGAGUACCAGACGGGACCUAAUUUAAAA